This 465-nucleotide ribosomal RNA is filed under the name Peptostreptococcus stomatis. RNAcentral's name for it is "bacterial SSU rRNA". It matches the Rfam family "Bacterial small subunit ribosomal RNA", at positions 28 to 492 of the family's 1533-position model. The record is from RNAcentral. Lineage: Bacteria; Bacillati; Bacillota; Clostridia; Peptostreptococcales; Peptostreptococcaceae.
GAUGAACGCUGGCGGCGUGCCUAACACAUGCAAGUCGAGCGAGGGUUUGCUCAGUAUUGAGUAUUCUAAGACUAGAAUGUUCAAUUCUGAGCAAAACCAAGCGCGGACGGGUGAGUAACGCGUGGGUAACCUGCCCUAUACACAUGGAUAACAUACUGAAGUUUACUAAUACAUGAUAUAUAUAUUUGCGGCAUCGCAGAUAUAUCAAAGUGUUAGCGGUAUAGGAUGGACCCGCGUUGAUUAGUAGUGGUGAGAUAUGCCCCCAAGGCACGAUCAGUACCACCUGAGAGGGUGAUCGGCCACAUUGGACUGAGACACGGUCCAAACUCCUACGGGAGGCAGCAGUGGGGAAUAUUGCACAAUGGGCGAAAGCCUGAUGCAGCAACGCCGCGUGAACGAUGAAGGUCUUCGGAUCGUAAAGUUCUGUUGCAGGGGAAGAUAAUGACGGUACCCUGUGAGGAAGCC